UACAGAGGUGUCAAACGUUGUCCGGAAUUACUGGGCGUAAAGGGCGCGUAGGCGGCGGGAUAAGUCAGAUGUGUAAGCUCAGGGCUCAACCCUGAAAUUGCAUCUGAUACUGUCCCGCUUGAGUUGGGUAGAGGAGGGCGGAAUUCCUGGUGUAGCGGUGAAAUGCGUAGAUAUCAGGAGGAACACCUGUGGCGAAGGCGGCUCUCUGGUCCCACACUGACGCUGAGGCGCGAAAGUUAGGGUAGCAAACAGG
This 253-nucleotide ribosomal RNA is filed under the name uncultured bacterium. RNAcentral describes it as "partial 16S ribosomal RNA". It matches the Rfam family "Bacterial small subunit ribosomal RNA", at positions 524 to 776 of the family's 1533-position model. The record is from RNAcentral.